Molecule: ribosomal RNA, 253 nt
Filed under: uncultured bacterium
Lineage: Bacteria
Description: partial 16S ribosomal RNA
Rfam family: Bacterial small subunit ribosomal RNA
Source: RNAcentral
UACGGAGGAUGCAAGCGUUAUCCGGAAUGAUUGGGCGUAAAGCGUCCGCAGGUGGCGAUGUAAGUCUGCUGUUAAAGAGUCUAGCUCAACUAGAUAAGAGCAGUGGAAACUACAUAGCUAGAGUACGUUCGGGGCAGAGGGAAUUCCUGGUGUAGCGGUGAAAUGCGUAGAGAUCAGGAAGAACACCGGUGGCGAAGGCGGUCAACUGGCCCUCGACUGACGCUGAGGCACGAAAGCGUGGGGAUCAAACAGG